Long non-coding RNA from Pezoporus flaviventris, 1011 nucleotides. RefSeq lists it as uncharacterized. NCBI's taxonomy places the organism in Eukaryota, Metazoa, Chordata, Aves, Psittaciformes, Psittacidae. The record is from RefSeq and is a predicted model, not a curated record. The transcript has 2 exons.
UUUAAAAAAAAGGGGGUUUAUUUCUUCCAUUUCUCAGAAAAAGAAUAUUUUCAGGCAAACCGAACAGGUUUGAACUGUUGGAACCUGGAUUGAUUUAUCUGACAUGUUAACGCUGGGACUUCUGGAAACAUCCUUGAUGUUCAGCAGCCCCUAAGAGGAAAGCAUAAGUUACAGACUUUCUGAUAGCACCCGUGAAGAAAAACCAAAGUCCUGUGGUGGUAAUGCAUGCACGUUCAAUGUCUUCAUUGUAGAGUGUUCUUCAGUGCCUUAUAUCAUGGUUUCAAAAUACAUACACACACACAUAUAUAUAUGUAUAUGUAAAUCCAAAAUACCAUUUGGAAUGUCAACAUUCAGUGGGCUUUGAGGAGAUGUAGCAGCACAUCAUGGUUUGUAGGGACAAGGAGAUACAGACCAUUCUGGGCUGCCUCAUUACCUCAAGGAUAAGACAAGAAAGUGAGCUUCUGGUUAUCAUAGAGGUGGGAGCUAACACGUUCCCAUGUAUCUCUUUAGUUGGGUUGAACAGGUACGUGUAGAUCAGCUCUCUUGGUGCUUGUGUCUGUGCGCAUCCUCUGCAGCUCCAAAUACGUUCCCUAUGAGCUCGGGUGGCCGUGCGUGUCUCAGCGGGGCUGGCCCCGCAGGCAGGGAGCACUCAAGGCUCAUUUUUGUCCUCCAGCGUGGGCACAACCAACGUUGGGAGGGUGCCUUCAGCUGGUGCCUCACCUCUUGCUUUCCCCAGCAAAGGAUCAGCCCAGGUACUCUUGCCCUGUGGUUUUGGGGGGGGGGAGAUAGGUUUGGGGGUUUGGGGGCCGUGGCGAUGGACAGCUGUCAGCAGUGCUCUAGCAGCACGGAAAUACUGGAGUUGGGGAUUGCCUGCUGCUCUCCAGUAUUGCAUUGCUGCUUUAGUGAGGCUGGAAAUCGGUCCCUGCUGCAGGAGCCGGGCUCUGCUGCUGUGCCGGGGGGGGGGGGGCUCUCGGCUCCCACCCCAAUAAAUCACUGCGGAGGCAGGAACCA